UCCUGGUUAACCCAGGCAGUCUCAUUAGAGUUCCCACCAUUACGUGUUGGCAACUAAUGAUAAGGGUUGCGCUCGUUGCUGGACUUAACCAAACACCUCACGGCACGAGCUGACGACAGCCAUGCAGCACCUGUGCAGCGGCCCUUGCGGGAAGCACCAUUUCUGAUGCGGUCCACUGCAUGUCAAGACUGGGUAAGGUUCUUCGCGUUGCAUCGAAUUAAACCACAUGCUCCACUGCUUGUGCGGGUCCCCGUCAAUUCUUUUGGGUUUCACCCUUGCGAGUGUACUCCCCAGGCGGUAUACUUAACGCGUUUGCUACGGCACAGUCAGGGUUGAGUCCGACUACGCCUAGUAUACAUAGUUUACGGCAAGGACUAC
This 378-nucleotide unclassified non-coding RNA is filed under the name uncultured Parachlamydiaceae bacterium. Its description in RNAcentral is "contains 16S-23S intergenic spacer region". The record is from RNAcentral. Lineage: Bacteria; Pseudomonadati; Chlamydiota; Chlamydiia; Parachlamydiales; Parachlamydiaceae.